This 358-nucleotide transfer-messenger RNA is filed under the name Sphingomonadales bacterium. It matches the Rfam family "Alphaproteobacteria transfer-messenger RNA". From Rfam's summary of the family: Bacterial tmRNA, also known as 10Sa RNA or SsrA, is named for its dual tRNA and mRNA-like properties. Its role is to liberate the mRNA from a stalled ribosome. Lineage: Bacteria; Pseudomonadati; Pseudomonadota; Alphaproteobacteria; Sphingomonadales. The record is from RNAcentral.
CCCCUUUCCUUUUGCAGCCUGCCGUCCUAUAUCGGCGUUGUCGGCUUCGGUCGGCUAUGGCGAUAAACUGCGGCGUGCAAUAGGCGCAGCGGACCCGGGGGCGGUACCCGGCGGCUCCACCACUUUCCUUGUUUCGGCCUAUGGCCGCACAAGGGAAAUGACGGGGUCGAACUAGGAUCGACGUGUGUUGAAAAGCGCUGUUUUCGCCCGGGCUGAGUAACCCGUUCAAGGCUCAAAACUCACAAGUGCCAACGACAACGAAGCACUUGCUCUCGCUGCGUAACCUGACGGCCUAACGGCCUGAUCUUACAAAGCGACAGCACGGUUCGGACCGAACCGGGUAACAGAAUCGGAAACC